GAUGAAGAACGCAGCGAAAUGCGAUAAGUAGUGUGAAUUGCAGAAUUCAGUGAAUCAUCGAAUCUUUGAACGCACAUUGCGCCCCUUGGUAUUCCAUGGGGCAUGCCUGUUCGAGCGUCAUCUACACCCUCAAGCUCUGCUUGGUGUUGGGCGUCUGUCCCGCCCCCGCGCGUGGACUCGCCACAAAUCCAUUGGCAGCGUUCCUUGCCCCCUCUCGCGCAGCACAUUGCGCUUCUCGAGGGCGGCUCCGGGCCGCGAUCCAGCAAGAUGACCACCGUCUUUGACCUCGGAUCAGGUAGGGAUACCCGCUGAACUUAAGCAUAUCAAUAAGCGGAGGA
Molecule: unclassified non-coding RNA, 338 nt
Filed under: soil metagenome
Description: partial contains 5.8S ribosomal RNA, internal transcribed spacer 2, and large subunit ribosomal RNA
Rfam family: 5.8S ribosomal RNA (bases 1-120)
Source: RNAcentral